GACGAACGCUGGCGGCGUGCUUAACACAUGCAAGUCGAACGGAAAGGCCCUGCUUGCAGGGUGCUCGAGUGGCGAACGGGUGUGUAACACGUGGGUGAUCUGCCCUGCACUUCGGGAUAAGCCUGGGAAACUGGGUCUAAUACCGGAUAGCAGCCCUUCUUAGUGUGAUGGUUGGAAAGUUUUUUCGGUGUAGGAGGAGCUCGCGGCCUAUCAGCUUGUUGGUGGGGUAAUGGCCUACCAAGGCGGCGACGGGUAGCCGGCCUGAGAGGGUGGACGGCCACAUUGGGACUGAGAUACGGCCCAGACUCCUACGGGAGGCAGCAGUGGGGAAUAUUGCACAAUGGGCGCAAGCCUGAUGCAGCGACGCCGCGUGGGGGAUGACGGCCUUCGGGUUGUAAACUCCUUUCGCUAGGGACGAAGCUUUUUGUGACGGUACCUAGAGAAGAAGCACCGGCUAACUACGUG
RNAcentral lists this ribosomal RNA (465 nucleotides) under uncultured bacterium. RNAcentral's name for it is "partial 16S ribosomal RNA". It matches the Rfam family "Bacterial small subunit ribosomal RNA", at positions 28 to 507 of the family's 1533-position model. The record is from RNAcentral.